AAUGUACCUACCGUCCGGAAAUACUUGUCAUCAAAAUGGAUGAAAACCGAUGUAUUUAUAACUAAAAUACAUCUAGAUACAUCCAUGACAAGUAUUUUCGGACGAAGGGAGUACAAU
Molecule: non-coding RNA, 117 nt
Organism: Triticum aestivum (bread wheat)
Lineage: Eukaryota; Viridiplantae; Streptophyta; Magnoliopsida; Poales; Poaceae
Source: Rfam